GCCUCCUUAGCUCAGUGGUAGAGCAACGCUCUUGUAAAGCGUAGGUCGUCAGUUCAAUCCUGACAGGGGGCUCCG
Molecule: transfer RNA, 75 nt
Filed under: Mycobacterium sp.
Lineage: Bacteria; Bacillati; Actinomycetota; Actinomycetes; Mycobacteriales; Mycobacteriaceae
Description: tRNA-Thr
Rfam family: tRNA
About the family: Transfer RNA (tRNA) molecules are approximately 80 nucleotides in length. Their secondary structure includes four short double-helical elements and three loops (D, anti-codon, and T loops). Further hydrogen bonds mediate the characteristic L-shaped molecular structure. tRNAs have two regions of fundamental functional importance: the anti-codon, which is responsible for specific mRNA codon recognition, and the 3' end, to which the tRNAs corresponding amino acid is attached (by aminoacyl-tRNA synthetases). tRNAs cope with the degeneracy of the genetic code in two manners: having more than one tRNA (with a specific anti-codon) for a particular amino acid; and 'wobble' base-pairing, i.e. permitting non-standard base-pairing at the 3rd anti-codon position.
Source: RNAcentral